This 492-nucleotide ribosomal RNA is filed under the name uncultured bacterium. Its description in RNAcentral is "partial 16S ribosomal RNA". It matches the Rfam family "Bacterial small subunit ribosomal RNA", at positions 29 to 507 of the family's 1533-position model. The record is from RNAcentral.
AGUGAACGCUGGCGGUAGGCCUAACACAUGCAAGUCGAACGGCAGCACAGUAAGAGCUUGCUCUUACGGGUGGCGAGUGGCGGACGGGUGAGGAAUACAUCGGAAUCUACUUUUUCGUGGGGGAUAACGUAGGGAAACUUACGCUAAUACCGCAUACGACCUACGGGUGAAAGCAGGGGAUCUUCGGACCUUGCGCGAUUGAAUGAGCCGAUGUCGGAUUAGCUAGUUGGCGGGGUAAAGGCCCACCAAGGCGGCGAUCCGUAGCUGGUCUGAGAGGAUGAUCGGCCACACUGGAACUUAAACACGGUCCAGACUCCUACGGGAGGCAGCAGUGGGGAAUAUUGGACAAUGGGCGCAAGCCUGAUCCAGCCAUACCGCGUGGGUGAAGAAGGCCUUCGGGUUGUAAAGCCCUUUUGUUGGGAAAGAAAAGCAGCAGGUUAAUACCCCGCUGUUCUGACGGUACCCAAAGAAUAAGCACCGGCUAACUUCGUG